CCCCAGUAAACGGCGGCCGUAACUAUAACGGUCCUAAGGUAGCGAAAUUCCUUGUCGGGUAAGUUCCGACCCGCACGAAAGGCGUAACGAUUUGGGCACUGUCUCAACAACAGACUCGGUGAAAUUGUAAUUCCGGUGAAGAUGCCGGAUACCUGCGACAGGACGGAAAGACCCCAUGGAGCUUUACUGUAGCUUGACAUUGGGUCUUGGUACUACAUGUACAGGAUAGGUGGGAGGCUUUGAAACCAGGACGCCAGUUUUGGCGGAGCCAUCCUUGGGAUACCACCCUUGUAGUACUGGGACUCUAACCAUAGGCCAUGAAUCUGGUCUUGGGACACUGUCAGGUGGGCAGUUUGACUGGGGCGGUCGCCUCCCAAAAGGUAACGGAGGCGCUCAAAGGUUCUCUCAGUACGGUCGGAAAUCGUACGUAGAGUGUAAAGGCAAAAGAGAGCUUGAUUGCAAGACAUACAGGUCGAGCAAGGAUGAAAAUCGGACUUAGUGAUCCGGUGGUUCUGCGUGGAAGGGCCAUCGCUCAACGGAUAAAAGCUACCCUGGGGAUAACAGGCUUAUCUCCCCCAAGAGUCCACAUCGACGGGGAGGUUUGGCACCUCGAUGUCGGCUCAUCACAUCCUGGGGCUGUAGUAGGUCCCAAGGGUUGGGCUGUUCGCCCAUUAAAGUGGUACGCGAGCUGGGUUCAGAACGUCGUGAGACAGUUCGGUCCCUAUCCGUCGCAGGCGUAGGAAAUUUGAGAAGACCUGUCCUUAGUACGAGAGGACCGGGAUGGACGUACCUCUGGUGUACCAGUUGUCCUGCCAAGGGCAUGGCUGGGUAGCUAUGUACGGAAUGGAUAAGCGCUGAAAGCAUCUAAGCGCGAAGCCAACUUCAAGAUAAGAUUUCCCACCGCAAGGGUAAGACCCCAGAAAGACUAUCUGGUUGAUAGGUCGAAGGUGUAAGUGCAGCAAUGUAUUUAGCUUAUCGAUACUAAUAGGUCGAGGACUUGACCAA
RNAcentral lists this ribosomal RNA (1005 nucleotides) under Clostridioides difficile. RNAcentral's name for it is "partial 23S ribosomal RNA". It matches the Rfam family "Bacterial large subunit ribosomal RNA", at positions 1918 to 2925 of the family's 2925-position model. The record is from RNAcentral. Lineage: Bacteria; Bacillati; Bacillota; Clostridia; Peptostreptococcales; Peptostreptococcaceae.